RNAcentral lists this long non-coding RNA (616 nucleotides) under Homo sapiens (human). Its description in RNAcentral is "non-protein coding lnc-ENOX2-5:1". Lineage: Eukaryota; Metazoa; Chordata; Mammalia; Primates; Hominidae. The record is from RNAcentral.
AAUUUCCUUCUCCUAUUAUGUGAUACAAAUGCUGGUAUUUUUGUUCUUUGUGACUACUGAAUGCAAUCUUUUAGCCUCCCUGGGCAAGGACAUUUAUAUGCCAAUCAGACAACCCAUGCUCUAUCCUGUCACUAUGUCCCAAGUUUGUUGUAUCCAAUUAGUGGCUUCAUGUUACGGGCAUGGAGUUAUCCAUACUAUGUUUUUAGGAGGUUCAAUCUCUAUAUUUGCCUUUUGUAAGUUCAAACCAUCAUCAGCUUUUUUGGUGACAGUUUCCCACUCUUGGUCCUCUCCUGCUCAGACACCUACAUAAUGAAUUCUUUGUUCUUUUUCACUGGGUGCUUCAUUUGGAUGAGCUCUUGACCAGUCAUCCUUGUCUCCCACAUGUUCAUCAUUGUCACUUUCUUGAGGAUCUUCUCAGUUGUAGUUGAAUCUAAAGGUUUUCUUGCUUUUUCUUCACAUCUAACUGCUAUCAUUCUCUUCUAUGGGGACAUUAUAUUUAUAUAUGUGACAUUCUUCCAACUAUUUUCUGAACCAAGACCAGACUGUAUCCAUUUUCUACAUGGUAAGAAUUCUUUUGUUAAGCCCCAUUAUCUAUUGUUUAAUAAAAAUGCAAGUG